UUUGCGGAACCGCAGUCGGACUUUUUUAUACUCAACCCUUUUCCGGAAGGAUCGGCGAUUUAUUGGUACGUCAUGCGUCCAAUGGUUGUUGUGAAUUCCAGCCUAAGUUGUCCACUUGGGUUUCCGGUCUUUCAAAAGCCACUCUUAGUCAACUAGCGUAGAGCAAAACCAAAUCCCGAUUUCUAGCGCAUUUUGAACUAAGUCGACCUAACACCCAAGGCGUGUUGGGCCCAUUAGAAGUCUACCUCGUGUCUAUUUGGCCAAUUGGUCAAUAAAAGACAAUCAUAUUUAUGUGUUAAAUUUGUUGGAUGUUUACGUCAUUUCGCAAAACAAUGUCCCUUCGAGUAAGGAGUUUAAGAGUUUGUUUGAGUCAAAUUAGGAUAAAAUUACAAUUGCAUCUGAAGACGUUUACAUUUAGAGAUGGAUGCUUAGUAUAUGAUUGUACCCCUGUGUGAGACCGAUUAUUUGUAUCUUUUUUUUCCUAUUAUGUAUACCCAUUCAAUUUAUUUAUGAUGUUUGUAUAGAUUUUAAUUUUUUGGGGAUAAUAGAAUUUUGUCAAAUGGUGUUAUACAUUCUUCAGAUCGGUAGGCCUAUCUUUGAUAGAAAAGGGUCACAUAUUUGUAUAGGAUGCGCAUUAAUUGUUUAUAUGCUAUGUGAUAUAAUUGAGUUUGUUUCAAUCAAAAUAGUGCUUAUGUGUUUAAUUAAUUUUAUAUUUAUUUAUUUAUUUGUGAUAUUUUGCAUUAUUCAUUAUGAAUAUAAAUUAACACUUUUAUCUUUUGAGUUUAUCUUAUUUUUAAGCGAGAAAUUGAUCUAAAGAGAAUUUAGAAGUCAUUGUUCGUCCAGAAUUGCAAGGGACAAGAGAAUUCGCGAAGUUCAAGUGUUUAUAUCUCACAAGACAUUAAUAUUCAGUCAAAAAGAUAAAUCAGGGGAGUCUUUGACUAUAAGGUCACACUCAUUUUUUAUUUUAUUUUUGUUAUUUUUCAUGUUGGCCCUGCUUUCACAUAUUUCUCAUAUUUUGCAGGGAAACCGUCCCCGACAACAGUCGGGGAUGGUGAUAAUAACGUAUAGUUCUUAGGAAUCAUUGGGAGUAUACACAAUUUGAAGAGACAUCCAAAAGAGAAUACAACAAGUGGUUAUUGUAGAAAUUCGGAGGUCACAUUUAACAAACAGUAUAAAGAUCAACAGUUAAGAGGACGCAAAACAUAUUGGUGGAAACAGUCAGAAGACACUCUCUGACUAAAGAUUUCAACGGCCCUAUAUUUACAAGUUAUCACUCUAAGUUGGUUUAAAUUUUUGAAUAAUUUUAUACCCUAUCUGCACGAACUACGCGUACCUAAUUUUCAUUUUCAUGAGAUACGUAGGCAACCCAUUUUGGGUUCGGUAUUCACUUUUUCAUUUUUUU
RNAcentral lists this long non-coding RNA (1402 nucleotides) under Solanum tuberosum (potato). RNAcentral describes it as "long non-coding RNA (STUB_LNC011887)". Lineage: Eukaryota; Viridiplantae; Streptophyta; Magnoliopsida; Solanales; Solanaceae. The record is from RNAcentral.